GAUGAACGCUGGCGGCGUGCUUAACACAUGCAAGUCGAACGAAGCACUUAAGAUUGAUUCUUCGGAUGACGUCUUUUGUGACUUAGUGGCGGACGGGUGAGUAACGCGUGGGUAACCUGCCUCACACAGGGGGAUAACAGUUAGAAAUGACUGCUAAUACCGCAUAACCCGAUAGGAUCGCAUGUUCCAGACGGAAAAGAUUUAUCGGUGUGAGAUGGACCCGCGUCUGAUUAGCUAGUUGGUGAGGUAACGGCCCACCAAGGCGACGAUCAGUAGCCGGGCUGGGAGGGUGAACGGCCACAUUGGGACUGAGACACGGCCCAAACUCGUACGGGAGGCAGCAGUGGGGAAUAUUGCACAAUGGGGGAAACCCUGAUGCAGCGACGCCGCGGGAGUGAAGAAGUAUUUCGGUAUGUAAAGCUCUAUCAGCAGGGAAGAAAAUGACGGUACCUGACUAAGAAGCCCCGGCUAACUACGUG
RNAcentral lists this ribosomal RNA (479 nucleotides) under uncultured bacterium. RNAcentral's name for it is "partial 16S ribosomal RNA". It matches the Rfam family "Bacterial small subunit ribosomal RNA", at positions 28 to 507 of the family's 1533-position model. The record is from RNAcentral.